GACAGAGGGUGCAAACGUUGUUCGGAAUUACUGGGCGUAAAGCGCGUGUAGGCUGCUCUGCAAGUCGGAUGUGAAAGCCCUGGGCUCAACCUAGGAAGUGGAUUCGAAACUGCAGAGCUGGAGAUCUGGAGAGGAAAGCGGAAUUCUCGGUGUAGAGGUGAAAUUCGUAGAUAUCGAGAGGAACACCGGUGGCGAAGGCGGCUUUCUGGACAGCAUCUGACGCUGAGACGCGAAAGCGUGGGGAGCAAACAGG
This 253-nucleotide ribosomal RNA is filed under the name uncultured bacterium. Its description in RNAcentral is "partial 16S ribosomal RNA". It matches the Rfam family "Bacterial small subunit ribosomal RNA", at positions 524 to 776 of the family's 1533-position model. The record is from RNAcentral.